Molecule: long non-coding RNA, 620 nt
Organism: Panthera uncia (snow leopard)
Lineage: Eukaryota; Metazoa; Chordata; Mammalia; Carnivora; Felidae
Exons: 4
Source: RefSeq, a predicted model, not a curated record
CGGGAUCAGCGCCUUUAUAAAAGCGACCUCAGAGGGUCCUUCAGCCCUUGUACCGCGCGAGGGCACAGCGACAAGACCCUCAGAAGAAAGCCGGCCCCUCACCAGACACCGGAUCUGCAGCAUCUGGGUCGCCUUGACGGUGGACUUCCCAGCCUCCAGAGCCGUGAGAAACUAACUUUUGUUGUUCAAUUCUUCAUGUUUGAUAUGGUGAAGUUUUCAACAGCUUGAAGUCACAUUUCGAGACCAGGAAUUAUCCCUGGAGAGCAGAGAGCACAUUGGGUCAUAAUGGCCAUAGAGGGAUAUUGGACUCCUUACAGCAUUUCAGAUCACAAGAAAUGCAGAGCUGCUCUGAAGACCCCGGUAGGGCCCAGAGGUGCCCCAGUCAGCAAUACCAUGAGAGUUCUCAUGGCAACUUGUAAACUUACCUAUGUUGUACAAGGAGGAGAGAUGCUUUAGUGUCCAGUUGGGAAGGAAAAAGAACCCUGGAUCCAGAGUCAUAAGGGGAAAAGAACUGCUCUUUCCAGCAAAGACAAGUUCAUGCACAUCUCUUUUUUUUUUUUUCCUGCUCUGUCUCCAUUUGGGUGGGCUUCCUCCAAAGAAUCAUAAAAAAAUAAGCUAUG